This 469-nucleotide ribosomal RNA is filed under the name uncultured bacterium. RNAcentral describes it as "bacterial SSU rRNA". It matches the Rfam family "Bacterial small subunit ribosomal RNA", at positions 335 to 799 of the family's 1533-position model. The record is from RNAcentral.
ACUCAUACGGGAGGCAGCAGUGGGAAUAUUGGACAAUGGGGAACCCUGAUCCAGCCAUGCCGCGUGUGUGAAGAAGGCCCUCGGGUUGUAAAGCACUUUCAGUGAGGAAGAAAGCUUGUCGGUUAAUACCCGGCAAGGACGACAUCACUCACAGAAGAAGCACCGGCUAACUCCGUGCCAGCAGCCGCGGUAAUACGGAGGGUGCGAGCGUUAAUCGGAAUUACUGGGCGUAAAGCGUGCGUAGGCGGCUUGGUAAGCCGGUUGUGAAAGCCCCGGCUGCAACCUGGGAACGGCAUCCGGAACUGUCAGGCUAGAGUGCAGGAGAGGAAGGUAGAAUUCCCGGUGUAGCGGUGAAAUGCGUAGAGAUCGGGAGGAAUACCAGUGGCGAAGGCGGCCUUCUGGACUGACACUGACGCUGAGGUACGAAAGCGUGGGUAGCAAACAGGAUUAGAUACCCUGGUAGGCUCUG